UAAAUGGUUUCCAGUAUUGAUAUAUUUUCUGUUAUUUUUGCACAUUUCUAGUGUAUUGCUGGAAACUUGGAAAAGGUGAGAGUUGCCCUCUGGAAAGUGCUGCCAUACUUUUUUGAAAAAAUACAACAUAGAAUCAACUGGGAGAAAGACCAAGUUUUCAGAGCACCCAUUGAGAAGAAGGCACAACAAGUCCCUAUCCAAUGCCACUUCAGUAUUUGAUUGGAAGGAUAUCUUAAACAGGCUUGGUGUUUUAUCAUCUCUAGUCUUAGACAUUUUGGAAGACUCAGAAAUAUGACGUAAAAGAAGUGUAACAUGUACACAUCUGAGCUGAAAAACUGCAAAUGAUGGUGAAAUUCUGGGCACACAGUCUUAAUUUGAGCCUCUUGGUAAAGAUUUGAUUUUUUCAUACUUGUCUCUUUGUUACAAACUGUGACACUAAUAAGGCUUAUUUCUCUCCACAAUUCUUAUAGACAUAUUUCUAGGCCAACUGAAAAAAUCUUGUGAGACUGGAGGAGUUAAUUAGAGUUGGCAAACUUUUCACUGAAGCAUUGAAAAUUAGUUACUUCAGCUCCUUCAUAUUUCAAAGUAGGAUCUAAUUUUAAUACAGAAUUAAGCUGAAGGAAAAUCUCCAGUGUCUUUUGAAAGGCUUCUCCACACUGUGGCUGCUGCCCACUCCAGUAGAUGGCAACUCACUUGUUGGAGGACUUGGUAGAGGUGCCCCUUGGAAUGAGUAGUGUGUGAAAGACUCUCUGCUCUCAGAAAUUUUACUCACUGUGGAGCCACAAAACUGAUAUGAUUUGUUUGGACAUGAUACUACUUUCUCUAGUUUCUUUUGCCUUUCACUGCCUGAUGCACUGACUUACAGUGCCUACUCAUUUGUUACAGCUGGGUGCUAGGACCUUCUCAGCCAGGGGCUUGGAAACCCUCAGAAUGACAGCUGUGAUUGAGCAUGAACACAAGUCCAGGUGCUGAGCACACAGUUUCGAGCAACCCAUUCCCUACUGCUCCCCUGUCCAGAAAAAAGUGGUCUUGCUACAGGAGAUGGGCAGUGUGAAACUGGUCAUAAAUCAUUGAAGAAACAGUGCAGAUCACACUGGACUGGCCAGAGAGCAUCAGGCCAGGAAGGGUAGAAGUGAGCAUGAAGUUAGCAAAAGUCUUUUGCAAAAACUGCGUCUCUAUCAUUGAUUUUAUAGAUUUCAUUUCACUGUACUAUGGGUAAAAGUUUUUGUGCUAAUGUCUGAGAUGGCAAAAAUUUACCUUUCUCCAUGUUACAUUUGAAUUUCAUUGCAUCUCUU
Molecule: long non-coding RNA, 1295 nt
Organism: Bos indicus x Bos taurus (hybrid cattle)
Lineage: Eukaryota; Metazoa; Chordata; Mammalia; Artiodactyla; Bovidae
Source: Ensembl